GAUGAACGCUGGCGGCGUGCCUAAUACAUGCAAGUCGAGCGAACGGACGAGAAGCUUGCUUCUCUGAUGUUAGCGGCGGACGGGUGAGUAACACGUGGAUAACCUACCUAUAAGACUGGGAUAACUUCGGGAAACCGUAGCUAAUACCGGAUAAUAUUUUGAACCGCAUGGUUCAAAAGUGAAAGACGGUCUUGCUGUCUCGUAUAGAUGGAUCCGCGCUGCAUUAGCUAGUUGGUAAGGUAACGGCUUACCAAGGCAACGAUGCAUAGCCGACCUGAGAGGGUGAUCGGCCACACUGGAACUGAGACACGGUCAAGACUCCUACGGGAGGCAGCAGUAGGGAAUCUUCCGCAAUGGGCGAAAGCCUGACGGAGCAACGCCGCGUGAGUGAUGAAGGUCUUCGGAUCGUAAAACUCUGUUAUUAGGGAAGAACAUAUGUGUAAGUAACUGUGCACAUCUUGACGGUACCUAAUCAGAAAGCCACGGCUAACUACGUG
This 497-nucleotide ribosomal RNA is filed under the name uncultured bacterium. RNAcentral describes it as "partial 16S ribosomal RNA". It matches the Rfam family "Bacterial small subunit ribosomal RNA", at positions 28 to 507 of the family's 1533-position model. The record is from RNAcentral.